Molecule: non-coding RNA, 24 nt
Filed under: Gossypium hirsutum (cotton)
Lineage: Eukaryota; Viridiplantae; Streptophyta; Magnoliopsida; Malvales; Malvaceae
Source: RNAcentral
CCAAAAUGUGGUUGGUAAUUGAAU